CCAGCAAUUAGUAUGAAAAACAAUUUACUUGUAAGUCUACAUUAAAAAGAAACAUGCAAUUUUCAACUUCUAAAUGGGAAUUUUUUUUUCAGCUGGACAGGAAAAGCAAUAAGUCUUAGAGCUUACCUUAGUGAGUGCUGGAGACCCAGUUCUUGAGAAAAAAAAAUAAUAAUAACCAUUUGUAAAGCAAUCAAAAUCCACAGCCAAACUGAGUCUGGAUCUUGUCAAAUUCCAAACAGGUAAACGACCGAGGUAUCAAUGAAAACUGCCAGAGAGGUGUGCUCUUGGAAAAUAACUAUUAUAUAUAUGUAUUUAUAUAAAUGCCUAUUUGUAUUUAUGUAUGUAUGUAGGUACAUAUGUAUUCAUUCCGUAUCUUAAGUUAAAACAAGUCACAAAAAAGUUAAACCGUGAUGAGAGGAGGUUGGGUUGAAGAAGUAAAGCAGAGAAAAUAUUCAACCAAAGCUUCCCCAGGGGAAAAGAAAAAUGGAAAAAGAAAUCUUUGGAAAGGAUCCUUAGAAGAGAGUUGCAAGAGGUACCAGGACUUAGAAGCUUUUCAGAAAGCCCAGAAGCAGAAAGAUGGAGAGAUGUGCCCUGCUAGGGUCCCAGGUAGCCACCCCACCUGCCGGCAAGGGCAAACGGACUCCCAUGUUCCCAGCCAGGUGGGAGCCGGUGGGAGCCAGAGGCCAACGCAGGGCAGAGAUGCCGGCGGGGGGCCCGGGGCUCCGGCUUCUCUGGCGGCGGAGCUGGGUGGUUCCACAGUUCCCAGUGCAGUUCGGAUGCUGUUGUUUCAGCAGUGCAGACAAGAAACCAUCCAGGGAAAUGACUAUUACAUCAUCUUAAAGGAAUAUGGCUUGGAGAAAUCGGAGGCAGCUCCGAGUCACGUCCUCCUCGGUGACAGGUUGCCAGGACUGCACGGGGACGCCGCGCUCCGGCGGUGGGCACGCGAUUGCCAGGCGCGCAGGGCUUGGGGCGGGGACGCAGUGCUGCGCAGCCACUUCCCUCCCUGUCCUGUCCUGGAGUCUGGAGUUUCCAAGGGCCUUUUCCUUCUUUCUUGUCUUUACCUCCACCACCAUCACCAUCCCACAGCAAAUCCCUGCCCCCUACCCAAGAGCUCUCCGCUGAAACACUGUGGGAUGGCACUCCCGGACUGA
Molecule: long non-coding RNA, 1151 nt
Filed under: Pongo abelii (Sumatran orangutan)
Lineage: Eukaryota; Metazoa; Chordata; Mammalia; Primates; Hominidae
Description: lncRNA (ENSPPYG00000034205.1)
Source: RNAcentral